CCAAAGGGCCUGUUCCCAUACUGUAGGGAAUCUAAUCUCAGACAUAGGGGGAACAUGCAAUGUCUGCACAGACAAUCACCCAAGGUUCGAAUCGAACCCAGUCCAUGGUGCUAUGAGGCAAUAGUGCUGACCAUAAGCCACUGCACUGCUCUUCUGUAAGUGCAUCAAGGGGAAGAGGAUAACCAGGGAAAGAAUAGGGAGGCAAUCUGAUUUGAUUUAGUUUGAGUUGCAUGGAGCCAAAGACAAUUGGUAAGGUGUUAAGUGGUUCUUCCCUUUGGAGGAGGAGCAUGUAGGUACAGAAUUUGGGAAGAGGGACUCUGAGGUUCUUGAGCAUUUGACAUAGGAAGGUAUUGGAAUUUUCCCCAGUCUGGAUGAGUUAUAUCCCAGCAUGCUCUAGGAGACGUGUGAGGAAAUUAAAGGGGCUUUGACCAAAAUGUUUAAUUUCUUUUCGGCCAUAGGGGCAGUGCCAGAGGACCGGAAGACAGCUAAUGCGAUUCCACUAUUCAAGAAGGGUGGUAGAGAUAGCACGGAAACAGACCCUCUGGUCCAACCCGCCCAUCUCGUCCAUGCUGACCAGAGUUGUAGAGGCAAGGUUUCGUCAGGGAUAAUGAAACAUGGAUUUGUCAGAAGGAGUUCAUGACCGACAAAUUUUAUUGAAUUUUUUGAGGAGAUGACCAGACGUGCAGAUAAAGAAGAUGAUGGAGUGACCAGCUACAAAAGAAGACUAAUCCUUAAUUCUUGGAAGACUUGCAUUUGUCUCAAACUGUGAUGUGGGAAUUUUCUUUUGGUCCCAUUCUUUGUCUAAAUUACCAUUGACCUAAAGCCACAUACCCAUUGUGUUCAAAUACAGGAUGAAAGGAAACACCAGAGUGGCCAGUGACAAG
Chiloscyllium plagiosum (whitespotted bambooshark) is the source of this 884-nucleotide long non-coding RNA. RefSeq lists it as uncharacterized. The record is from RefSeq and is a predicted model, not a curated record. NCBI's taxonomy places the organism in Eukaryota, Metazoa, Chordata, Chondrichthyes, Orectolobiformes, Hemiscylliidae.